Molecule: ribosomal RNA, 160 nt
Filed under: Euphorbia decorsei
Lineage: Eukaryota; Viridiplantae; Streptophyta; Magnoliopsida; Malpighiales; Euphorbiaceae
Description: 5.8S ribosomal RNA
Rfam family: 5.8S ribosomal RNA
About the family: 5.8S ribosomal RNA (5.8S rRNA) is a component of the large subunit of the eukaryotic ribosome. It is transcribed by RNA polymerase I as part of the 45S precursor that also contains 18S and 28S rRNA. Functionally, it is thought that 5.8S rRNA may be involved in ribosome translocation.
Source: RNAcentral
AACGACUCUCGGCAACGGAUAUCUCGGCUCUCGCAUCGAUGAAGAACGCAGCGAAAUGCGAUACUUGGUGUGAAUUGCAGGAUCCCGCGAACCAUCGAGUCUUUGAACGCAAGUUGCGCCCGAAGCCUUGGCCGAGGGCACGUCUGCUUGGGUGUCAUUC